UAGACAAGAAACUUAAUGUAUUAUGGUUUCGGCCCAUAAAAAGGCAUACUUAUGCCCUUGUUUU
Molecule: transfer RNA, 64 nt
Filed under: Lamprotula caveata
Lineage: Eukaryota; Metazoa; Mollusca; Bivalvia; Unionida; Unionidae
Description: tRNA-Arg
Source: RNAcentral